RNAcentral lists this long non-coding RNA (2284 nucleotides) under Homo sapiens (human). Its description in RNAcentral is "long non-coding RNA NONHSAT162366.1". The record is from RNAcentral. Lineage: Eukaryota; Metazoa; Chordata; Mammalia; Primates; Hominidae.
GAGCAGAUUGAUGUAUCUGUUUAGACUGGUUGCCUUUAGGGCUCUCUGGGAACCUGGUCUGACUUUCUAGUGCCCAGGCAGGCACUGCCCCAGAUCACUGCAUAUAUAGGGCAGGAAAGGCAGGGGAGGCAGCGGCGGGAAGCCUUCCUUAGCUGUGUGAUCCUAGAUGGCUGUUAACUUAGCAUUUGAGGACUGUCUCAGAUAGACACAAUUGGACCAGGCUCAACACUGUGUCUGGCAUCCAUGGACAAUUCAUUUUGCUCAAUUGAACUGAAUGCUCAAGAUCCUCAAGAAAGGAAGAAGAGAAAUUACAUUUACAAAGCACCUAUUGUGUGCCAAUCACUAUAGUAGGCCACUUUAUGUUUUAUUAAACUAAAUCCCUUGAGCUAGAGUCAGCUGCAAGGGAAGAUGAUGACCACUAUUUUACUGAUGAAGAAACUAGACUCCCUCCCUCAGAGGUUGAGGAGUGUGCUAGAAGUCACACAACCACCAAAUGGCAAUAUUAAAUUCAAACCUGGUGACUCCAAAGGCUAUACUCUCCACAUCAUAACAGAGCCUCCAAGUCUGGUUGUAAGAAAGCAUCAGAUAGCAGGCAUCCAUUUCUUCAUGCGUUCUUCAGUUCAUGUAGGUUUUGUACCAUAGAAAAAAAGGCUUUACCCACUCAAACAUCGACUGUUUUCAGCAGACAGAGUCCUAAGUGGAUGCCUGAUUGGCUGAUCCUGGGACACGUGCCUGCUCACUGGAUGUACUGAGGCUAUGAGAAGAAGGAUCUGGCAAAACAAACCUCAGGGACCUCAUCAAGAAGGCAGAGGACCUGGACUAACCAUGACAUCCAAACUGAACACAAUUUUAGAGAUAAUUCCCACAGAAGAGACAGGAUUUCUAGAAAAUGGAAAUAGCCCGCUCUUGGAAAAGAAUGGGCAUUUACUGAGAUGCAACUAUAAGCUGGUGAAAUAUAAUUUUGUUUAAAAUCAUUUAAUUUUAUUCCACAUCAUUUUCCUUUGAAGAUAUUUGAAUUGCCAGGGACAUUAAUAUUGUCAAGGAGAUUUGCUGUUUCACCCAAAUAUGAGAUGUCCACUUUGGGAUUAGAUCCCUGCCUCAUUCAAAUUUCCUUUUCCCUUAGUCUUUUCUUGAGUUACGGACAUUUGUUCAUUUUUUUCAACUUAUUCAACAAGUAUUUAUUGAACAACUACUAUGUGCCAUAUACUGUUUUUGGUUUGGUAUGGAAAGCCUGUAGGAAUCUCUGUUGUAAUUUUGGGAAUUUGCCCAACCUGCUCUUUAGGUGGUGCUAUGAACUGACUUGUGUGCUCCCAAAAUUUAUCUGUUGAAGCUCUAAGCUCCAAUGUGAUGAUAUUUGGAGAUGGGAUCUUUGGGAAUUAAUUAAGGUUAGAUGAGGUCAUGAGGAUGAGGCCCUUAUGAUGGGAUUAGUGCCCUUAUAAGAAAACACACCAGAGUGCCUGCUUGCUCUCUCUCUCUGCCAUGUGAAGACACAGUAUGAAGGCAGCUUAUUGCAAGCCUAAGAGAGAACCCUUGCCAGAAUUGGACUUCCGGUCUCCAGAACCAUGAAAACAUAAACUUCUGUUGUUUAAGCCACCCAGUCUACGGAAUUUUGUUCUAGAAGCCCAAGCUGACUAAUAUGGUUGGAGUCCAGUGCUUUGCGUGAAGAAGGUACAUCUCUAAAACUAAACAUUUUGCUCAUUGAAGCUUGAUCUGAAAUAAUUAAGACUUUGGUCGUGAAAAUCUUAGACAGAAUCCAUUCAGUGACUACCUUUAUUCUGAAUUGGCAGGCAGGCAGUUCUGAUAGAUCUGAGAAGAUUCUUUUGACAACAAUUUCUCCAACUUCAGAUAUGUUGAAAAACAAAAUAAAUAUGUUAAUAAUUAACAUGAUGUAAUGAACUUCAGUAGUAAAUUAAGACUAGAAGAGAUUAGGGGUACCAGGAAUCUUGGUUGUAAAGUGGCAUAUAUAAACAUAGUUGCAUCAAAACUUGCUAAAGUGGCCAGGUGCAGUGGCUCAUGCCUGUAAUCCCAGCACUUUGGGAAGCCGAGACAGGUGGAUCACCUGAGGUCAGGAGUUUGAGAUUAGCCUGGCCAACAGGGUGAAACCCUGUCUCUACUGAUAAUACAAAAAUUAGCCAGACAUGGUGGCACACGACUGUAAUCCCAGCUACUUAGGAGGCUGAGGCAGGAGAAUCGCUUGAACCUGGGAGGCAGAGGUUGCAGUGAGCCGGGAUCGCACCAUUGCACUCCAGCCUGGGCAACACGAGCAAAACUCUGUCUCAAAACA